UUUUACUAGGCCUAAAAUACUAAGGCAGGCCGAAACUGAAAAUCAAAUACCCAAGUUUACAAUGCAAAGCCCAGAAUACCAAGGCACAGCCCAAUUUGAAAUGCCCAAAUUAAAAAUCACACACCCACUAUAAUCGCUACCUGAAUACCUCCAACCAUAUUCAAGUGAAUUGGAGAAAAUUGUGGAUCGAGGGAAGAUGAGGAAUCGACGGCUACGGUGAUGACAGACGUCAGCGCUGUGAGGAUGACCGGUGGUUGGGGUAGCCGACUGGUGGCUUGCUGUCGAUCGACGACGAUAAGGAGUCGUAGUUUUGGUACUGUUGGUGGUUAUUGUGUAGCUUGGUGAUAGGCACGAUUUGUGCAAUCGCGAAUUGCAGAUGAUGGUGGUUGGUGCAUUGACUGUAUGGGACUCCGGAGACAAGAUAACGAAUAACUCGUUGUGUUUUCUCAGAUUUUCUUCCUGUCUAUCCCACUAAAACAUAGAAUCUGAAACAUUUU
Molecule: long non-coding RNA, 497 nt
Filed under: Olea europaea subsp. europaea
Lineage: Eukaryota; Viridiplantae; Streptophyta; Magnoliopsida; Lamiales; Oleaceae
Source: RNAcentral